UGCUGGCUAAAUUCACCAGUGUAAGAAAGUCACACUACCUAAACAUUGCAGCCUCCAGAUUAGACAGCAAGUAAAUUCUAAGCAAAAGUUGUUCUGGGAGAGUUACCUACUAAAAGGAAGAGCCUUUUUCAGGAAGUCUCCCUUCUCUGGAAAGGACUCCUGUUAAGCAGUAUUUUGCUUCUUGUCAAGGGCUUCUGUGAAAAGACCCCCAUACAUCCAAAGAAGGCAAAGACUAGAAAAGUAGAGUCAGUUUAAAGAAGGAAAGCAGCAGACACAGACAGCAGGUGUGAUUGGCACUAAGUGUAACAAACAGACGGGACUGGUGACAAACCUACCCAGUGGGACUGAAAGGUAUCAACCAUAAUUUGCAAGAGCAAUUAGCAGCAGAUAACAUAGUCAUCAAACUCAGCAGUACUGCUAAGAAUCUCCUAAUCAGUCGCAAUGUAGAUAUUUGAAGCUGAAAUAAUGCAAAAUUCCAGAAACAAACCACUAUUAUUUUGUGACUCAACCAGGAUCUGAACCCAAAAAAGAGGAAGUUCACGUGUUUAACACAAAUCUGUAAUAAGCAAUUGCCUAUACCCCAUCCAUAACAUACUUGGUUGGGUCAUUAAAGUCACAUAGACUUGCGCAAGACACACUCUCUAUGAAAUAUAAUGGAUAGGGAUACCUGAUCUUGAUGGGAAGCUUAACGAACUUAAAACUACUUUAAUCCACCCUUCUAAAUUGUUUUUCUUCAGUCACUUCCAGCUCUUAUUUGGACAUCAUCAUCCUUCCAUCUGAAGCAUGGCUUCUUUUUCAAUUCCAGACUAUUUUAGUUUGGUUGUCUUUUUUCCUUUUCCUUUAUCUUUGGAAUGAAUUUGAAGUAAGCCUGUAUGAGUCGUGUUUUUUGCCUUAUGAGGUCAUGGCUGUUUUGAUCUGGUAUUCAGCUGCCUAUCAUAAAAUUCUUCUUAAAUGGAGCCAUGACAUAAAUGUGUAAAUGAUCAGGAACCAUGUGAGUUACAAACCUUAUGCAUAUAAGAUAAUAUCUAACAAUUUUAAGUAAUAAAAUAUAUAAUUGUAUCA
RNAcentral lists this long non-coding RNA (1062 nucleotides) under Anser cygnoides (Swan goose). RNAcentral describes it as "lncRNA (ENSACDG00005018678.1)". Lineage: Eukaryota; Metazoa; Chordata; Aves; Anseriformes; Anatidae. The record is from RNAcentral.